RNAcentral lists this ribosomal RNA (253 nucleotides) under uncultured bacterium. Its description in RNAcentral is "partial 16S ribosomal RNA". It matches the Rfam family "Bacterial small subunit ribosomal RNA", at positions 524 to 776 of the family's 1533-position model. The record is from RNAcentral.
UACGUAGGGGGCUAGCGUUGUCCGGAAUCAUUGGGCGUAAAGAGCGUGUAGGCGGUCCGGUAAGUCCGCUGUGAAAGUCGGGGGCUCAACCCUCGAAUGCCGGUGGAUACUGUCGGGCUAGAGUGCGGAAGAGGCGAGUGGAAUUCCUGGUGUAGCAGUGAAAUGCGCAGAUAUCAGGAGGAACACCUAUUGCGAAGGCAGCUCGCUGGGACGUAACUGACGCUGAGACGCGAAAGCGUGGGGAGCAAACAGG